Chlorocebus sabaeus (green monkey) is the source of this 114-nucleotide microRNA precursor. NCBI's taxonomy places the organism in Eukaryota, Metazoa, Chordata, Mammalia, Primates, Cercopithecidae. The record is from Ensembl.
CGUGCUCCAGUGGCUCAAUCGGUUAGCGCUUGGUACUUAUACAGCAGUAUAUGUGUGGGUGAUGCCAAGGUUGUGAGUUGGACCCUCACCUGGAGUAUGUCUUCUUCCCAUUGC